RNAcentral lists this long non-coding RNA (653 nucleotides) under Mytilus galloprovincialis (Mediterranean mussel). The record is from RNAcentral. Lineage: Eukaryota; Metazoa; Mollusca; Bivalvia; Mytilida; Mytilidae.
UACCAGAGCCAAUCCCCAAAGCAAACACGCUAAAACAGUAUUGGAAAGUCUCAUUAUAUUUUGUGUUCAUAGACCACAUGAUAACGGAACUGGAGUCGCGUCUGAUAUCAUCAGGAAAUCGCUUCUAUGCGCAUUAUCUGCUUCCUCGUGUUGUCGGUAAUACAACAAACGAACAAAUCUCUGCAUUGUUAGACACAUACGAAACUGGCCUGGCAUAUAAUUUGUCAAAUUCAAUCGGGAGGUCGCUCGAUGGCGAACACGAGUGCUACCGCGAAGAGAUCGUUCAGUGUACUACAUCUGUUGAAAACAUAUAUAUGAUUAACCAUGAACAACUACAGCUCGGUUAUUAUCGCUAGCAUUACUGCAUUAUAUUCAUCGGGAUUUCAGUGUGAAUAUUGACAAAGUAAUAGAGACGUUCCCGAAGAGCAGAUUUUGGACAAUUUUGAGUAAAUUCUGAAUCACAAAAAUGUGUUGCUUACAUAUUCAAUUAAUCAUGCUUUACUCUAUUCAGAAGUCAAGAUUUCUAAAUAGUUUUGCAUUCAUGAAUUGUUUAUAACUCCAAUGUACGUCACAACAUGUAGCUCCUCUUUUAACCGUUCAAUGACCGAAAAACGAAAAAAAAAAAAAUCUGCAUAAAAGGGUCCCAAAAAUUU